This 791-nucleotide ribosomal RNA is filed under the name uncultured bacterium. Its description in RNAcentral is "bacterial SSU rRNA". It matches the Rfam family "Bacterial small subunit ribosomal RNA", at positions 8 to 796 of the family's 1533-position model. The record is from RNAcentral.
AGAGUUUGAUCCUGGCUCAGGAUGAACGCUAGCGGCAGGCCUAGUACAUGCAAGUCGGACGGGAUUGAGUAGCUUGCUAUUCAUGAGAGUGGCGCACGGGUGCGUAACACGUAUGUAACCUACCUUAAUCAGGGGGAUAGCCUCUCGAAAGAGAGAUUAAGCCCGCAUAAAAUCAUAGGACAGCAUUGUCUAAUGAUCAAAUAUUUAUAGGAUUGAGAUGGGCAUGCGGAACAUUAGCUAGUUGGUAAGGUAACGGCUUACCAAGGCUACGAUGUUUAGGGGAUCUGAGAGGAUGACCCCCCACACUGGUACUGAGACACGGACCAGACUCCUACGGGAGGCAGCAGUAAGGAAUAUUGGUCAAUGGGCGGAAGCCUGAACCAGCCAUGCCGCGUGCAGGAAGACGGCCCUACGGGUUGUAAACUGCUUUUAUACCGGAAUAAACCCCCCGUAUGUAUACGGGGCUGAAUGUACGGUAAGAAUAAGGAUCGGCUAACUCCGUGCCAGCAGCCGCGGUAAUACGGAGGAUCCAAGCGUUAUCCGGAUUUAUUGGGUUUAAAGGGUGCGUAGGCGGCUUUUUAAGUCAGGGGUGAAAGACGGUAGCUUAACUAUCGCAGUGCCCUUGAUACUGAAGAGCUUGAAUGUACUAGAGGUAGGCGGAAUGUGACNGUAGCGGUGAAAUGCAUAGAUAUGUCACAGAACACCAAUUGCGAAGGCAGCUUACUAUGGUAUGAUUGACGCUGAGGCACGAAAGCGUGGGGAUCAAACAGGAUUAGAUACCCUAGUAGUCC